Molecule: ribosomal RNA, 497 nt
Filed under: uncultured bacterium
Lineage: Bacteria
Description: partial 16S ribosomal RNA
Rfam family: Bacterial small subunit ribosomal RNA
Source: RNAcentral
GAUGAACGCUGGCGGCGUGCCUAAUACAUGCAAGUCGAGCGAACGGACGAGAAGCUUGCUUUUCUGAUGUUAGCGGCGGACGGGUGAGUAACACGUGGAUAACCUGCCUAUAAGACUGGGAUAACUUCGGGAAACCGGAGCUAAUACCGGUUAAUAUUUUGAACCGCAUGGUUCAAAAGUGAACGACGGUCUUGCUGUCACUUAUAGAUGGAUCCGCGCUGCAUUAGCUAGUUGGUAAGGUAACGGCUUACCAAGGCAACGAUGCAUAGCCGACCUGAGAGGGUGAUCGGCCACACUGGAACUGAGACACGGUCCAGACUCCUACGGGAGGCAGCAGUAGGGAAUCUUCCGCAAUGGGCGAAAGCCUGACGGAGCAACGCCGCGUGAGUGAUGAAGGUCUUCGGAUCGUAAAACUCUGUUAUUAGGGAAGAACAUAUGUGUAAGUAACUGUGCACAUCUUGACGGUACCUAAUCAGAAAGCCACGGCUAACUACGUG